GGUUAAGUUAUUAAGGGCGCAUGGUGGAUGCCUUGGCACUAGGAGCCGAUGAAGGACGUGACUAACUGCGAUAAGCUUCGGGGAGUUGUAAGUAAACUGUGAUCCGGAGAUUUCCGAAUGGGGAAACCCAACAGGAGUAAAGACCUGUUAUCACUGAGUGAAUACAUAGCUCAGUUGAAGGUAGACGUGGGGAACUGAAACAUCUAAGUACCCAUAGGAAGAGAAAGAAAAUUCGAUUCCCUGAGUAGCGGCGAGCGAAAAGGGAACAGCCCAAACCAAGAAGCUUGCUUCUUGGGGUUGUAGGACUGGACAUUUGAGUUACCAAGAAACGAAGUAGUUGAAUGAUUUGGGAAGAUCAGCCAGAGAAGGUGAUAGCCCUGUAAGCGAAACUUCGUUUCCUCAGCCCAGUAUCCUGAGUACGGCGGAACACGUGAAACUCCGUCGGAAUCCGGGAGGACCAUCUCCCAAGGCUAAAUACUCCCUAGUGACCGAUAGUGAACCAGUACCGUGAGGGAAAGGUGAAAAGCACCCCGGGAGGGGAGUGAAAUAGUUCCUGAAACCAUGUGCCUACAAGUAGUCAGAGCCCGUUAAUGGGUGAUGGCGUGCCUUUUGUAGAAUGAACCGGCGAGUUACGUUAGCGUGCGAGGUUAAGGCGCAAAGGCCGGAGCCGUAGCGAAAGCGAGUCUGAAUAGGGCGAAUGAGUACGUUGACGUAGACCCGAAACCAGGUGACCUACCCAUGUCCAGGUUGAAGGUGCGGUAAGACGCACUGGAGGACCGAACCCGUGUAUGUUGAAAAAUGCUGGGAUGAGGUGUGGGUAGAGGUGAAAUUCCAAACGAACUUGGAGAUAGCUGGUUCUCUCCGAAAUAGCUUUAGGGCUAGCCUCGGAGUUAAGGAUCGUGGAGGUAGAGCACUGUUUGGACUAGGGGCCCGUCUUGGGUUACUGAAUUCAGAUAAACUCCGAAUGCCACAGAUCUAUAUCCGGGAGUCAGACUGCGAGUGAUAAGAUCCGUAGUCGAAAGGGAAACAGCCCAGACCACCGAUUAAGGUCCCUAAAUAUGUGUUAAGUGGAAAAGGAUGUGGAAUUGCACAGACAACUAGGAUGUUGGCUUAGAAGCAGCCACCAUUUAAAGAGUGCGUAAUAGCUCACUAGUCGAGUGAUCCUGCGCCGAAAAUGUAACGGGGCUAAACACAUUACCGAAAUCGUGGAUGCAACUAUGUUGCAUGGUAGGAGAGCGUUCUAAGGGCGAUGAAGCUAGACCGUAAGGACUGGUGGAGCGCUUAGAAGUGAGAAUGCCGGUAUGAGUAGCGAAAGAUCAGUGAGAAUCUGGUCCACCGUAUGACUAAGGUUUCCUGGGGAAGGCUCGUCCUCCCAGGGUUAGUCGGGACCUAAGCCGAGGCCGAGAGGCGUAGGCGAUGGAUAACAGGUUGAGAUUCCUGUACUGGUUUGAUUUGUUUGAACGAUGGAGGGACGCAGGAGGCUAGAGAUGCGUGCUGUUGGAUAUGCACGUCCAAGCAACGAGUCUGAUGAUGAGUCAAAUGCUUAUCGUCUUAAGGACAAGUUGUGACGGGGAGCGAAAUUAAAGUAGCGAAGUGAUCGAUGUCACACUGCCGAGAAAAGCUUCUAGUUAGAAUCAGACCACCCGUACCGCAAACCGACACAGGUAGUCGAGGCGAGUAGCCUAAGGUGAGCGAGAGAACUCUCGUUAAGGAACUCGGCAAAAUGACCCCGUAACUUCGGGAGAAGGGGUGCUGCACAAUGUGCAGCCGCAGUGAAUAGGCCCAGGCGACUGUUUAUCAAAAACACAGGUUUCUGCAAAAUCGUAAGAUGAAGUAUAGGGGCUGACGCCUGCCCGGUGCUGGAAGGUUAAGAGGAUGGGUUAGCGUAAGCGAAGCUCAGAAUUGAAGCCCCAGUAAACGGCGGCCGUAACUAUAACGGUCCUAAGGUAGCGAAAUUCCUUGUCGGGUAAGUUCCGACCCGCACGAAA
Molecule: ribosomal RNA, 1988 nt
Filed under: Ligilactobacillus animalis
Lineage: Bacteria; Bacillati; Bacillota; Bacilli; Lactobacillales; Lactobacillaceae
Description: partial 23S ribosomal RNA
Rfam family: Bacterial large subunit ribosomal RNA
Source: RNAcentral